UACGUAGGGUGCAAGCGUUAAUCGGAAUUACUGGGCGUAAAGCGUGCGCAGGCGGUUAUGUAAGACAGUUGUGAAAUCCCCGGGCUCAACCUGGGAACUGCAUCUGUGACUGCAUAGCUAGAGUACGGUAGAGGGGGAUGGAAUUCCGCGUGUAGCAGUGAAAUGCGUAGAUAUGCGGAGGAACACCGAUGGCGAAGGCAAUCCCCUGGACCUGUACUGACGCUCAUGCACGAAAGUGUGGGGAGCAAACAGG
This 253-nucleotide ribosomal RNA is filed under the name uncultured bacterium. RNAcentral describes it as "partial 16S ribosomal RNA". It matches the Rfam family "Bacterial small subunit ribosomal RNA", at positions 524 to 776 of the family's 1533-position model. The record is from RNAcentral.